UAGAAGUUGUCAUUGGUCUCAUGACUGGC
RNAcentral lists this non-coding RNA (29 nucleotides) under Homo sapiens (human). The record is from RNAcentral. Lineage: Eukaryota; Metazoa; Chordata; Mammalia; Primates; Hominidae.